UUUAUAAAUUAAACACAUGGUAUUUAUAUAGAAAUUGCAAAUUAAACACCAGUGUUUAAUUCGUUAUGAUAGAAAAUGACGCAGUUGAUUAUGUCAUAACAUGCCAUUUGAACGCAGAAGAUGCAGAAUCACGCACAUACUGACAAGAAACACCAUAUCUAGCCAGGAAAUAGGAGGGACAUUCAUCUGUUACUGUGAAUCCUGAGAAGAAAACAUUACUUGUUAAAGGAAAGGGAUUUAAACAAAGAUCAUACUUAACCUUGAGAGGAUAUGGAGGAAUUAGAACUACUUCGGGUGAAAACAGUUUUGGAGAAUGGAAAACUGGAGAUCAUUAUCCUUUGUAGAAGAACCUGAAUUUUACCCACAACCAGAGGAGCUUGACUGUUUAACUCAGUUAGAAAAUGAUAUGGAUAUUAAGUGAGUGAUACCCCUGCAGCUCUUGUUUAGUAGCAAGAAUUAGUCCUUUACAAGUCAAAACUGGAAAUUUUAUUCAUUUGGUUAAAAAUCUGAAUAUUUGUGAAAGUAUAAAGUUGUAACAUUUACAACUAGAUUUAUGAGUGUAAUACAAGUACAUAUUAUACAUGCUGUACCCAGACAACAAAUUAUUAUUUUCAGUUUUUUUGCAUCAUAUUUAUUCGUCA
Molecule: long non-coding RNA, 641 nt
Organism: Saccostrea cuccullata (small rock oyster)
Lineage: Eukaryota; Metazoa; Mollusca; Bivalvia; Ostreida; Ostreidae
Exons: 3
Source: RefSeq, a predicted model, not a curated record